Molecule: ribosomal RNA, 351 nt
Filed under: uncultured bacterium
Lineage: Bacteria
Description: bacterial SSU rRNA
Rfam family: Bacterial small subunit ribosomal RNA
Source: RNAcentral
GGGCCCGCACAAGCGGUGGAGCAUGUGGUUUAAUUCGAUGAUACGCGAGGAACCUUACCAGGGCUUAAAUGCAGAACGACAGAGGUGGAAACACCUCCUUCUUCGGACGGUCUGCAAGGUGCUGCAUGGUUGUCGUCAGCUCGUGCUGUGAAGUGUCGGGUUAAGUCCCAUAACGAGCGCAACCCCUAUUUCUAGUUGCCAGCGGUUCGGCCGGGGACUCUAGAGAAACUGCCAGCGUAAGCUGUGAGGAAGGUGGGGAUGACGUCAAAUCAUCACGGCCCUUACGUCCUGGGCCACACACGUGCUACAAUGGUGAGGACAGAGGGACGCUACCAGGUGACUGGAUGCAAA